Molecule: RNA transcript, 1746 nt
Organism: Patella vulgata (common limpet)
Lineage: Eukaryota; Metazoa; Mollusca; Gastropoda; Patellidae
Gene name: sulfotransferase 1B1
Exons: 8
Source: RefSeq, a predicted model, not a curated record
AUUUAAAAUAGCCAAAGGUUCCAAAUAAAGCCAAUUCACUUCAAUUAGAAGGUAAGUUCAAUCUUUUCAUCACCCAUAUAUUGUUUAAUUCCAUUUGCCUCACCCCACUGUAGACUAGUUACUUAAUAAAGAUUAGCUUGUUAUGUACAUGAUGUAUUGAUACUUUUAGGCCAAGAUCGACCACACCUAGAUAACACGCUAAAUUAAAAUGGAAAACCAAAAUCAUGUAAAACCAAUCAUAUUCACAGAUAAAUCAGGAAAUGAAUUUAAAACAAUAGAACUAGACGGGGUGCCGAUCCCGGCAUUUCCAGAAGAGAGGUUAGGAAAGUCACAUAGUGAACAUUUCAGGAAGCUUAAGGAAAUGAACAUACGAGACGAUGAUGUUAUUAUAUGUGCUUAUCCCAAAGCAGGAACUCAUUGGAUCUGGGAAGUGAGUCAGAUGUUGAAAGGCCAAACAACAGAAUAUCAUAAACAUAUUAAAGAGCAGCACAUGUUCGAAUCUACGAAUAUUGAUAGUUUUGACACUGAACCCUCACCACGUGUUCUUAAUUCACAUUUAUGGCCACGACAUUUACCUAAACAAAUGUUUGAAAAGAAAACGAAAAUAAUUUACCUCAUUCGUAAUCCCAAAGACACGGUAGUUUCCAUGUUCUUUCAGUAUAAUGCAGGAGAAAAGACAUUUGGUUACCAUGGCAAUUUAAAUGAUUUUAUAGAUCUUUACGUCAAUAAAGGAUUACCAUAUGGUCUGUGGUAUGAGUAUGUUCUUGAAUGGGAAAAGUUCUUUAAAACAACUGAAAAUCCAUUUUAUCAGUUAUCUUAUGAGGACAUGCAGCAGAAUCCUGUACAUCAUGUAAAAGGUUUGGCUAAUUUUCUAGAAACUGAUAUCUCUGAUGAAUUAUGUGAAGCUAUAGUAGAUGCCUGUUCCUUUAAUAAACUAAAAAAAGCCAAUGAUGAAGUAAAAGACGAUUAUAUAAAACCUUCUUUGAAAGAAGGAACUUCAUUUUACAGAAAAGGUAAAGUUGGUGAUUGGAAGAAUUGGUUAACUGUAGCUGAAAGUGAAAAUAUUGAUCGAAUGACAGCUGAGAGAAUGAAAGACAGUCAAAUUAAAUUUAAAUAUACAAUUUAAAUAAACAAACCCAAAACACAGGAUGAUAAAUCUACAUUUAUAUACAAUGAUUGAUAAUAGACGAGAUGUAGAAUUCAAAGAUAAAGAAGAAAUUGUCAUUUGAGAUUAAAGCAAGUUCAACUUGUAUUAGAGCCCAUUUCUAGCUGUGUAGGACACCCUACAGUUAGUGCCUGUUGUGAAUUAUAAGGGUUAUUUAAAAUAGCCAAAGGUUCCCAAUAAAGCCAAUUCACUUAAAUUAGAAGGCCAAGAUCGACCACAACUAGAUAACACGCUAAAUUAAAAUGGAAAACCAAGAUCAUGUAAAACCAAUCAUAAUCACAGAUAAAUCAGGAAAUGAAUUUAAAACGAUAGAACUAGAUGGGGUACCGAUACCGGAAUUUCCAAAAGAAAGGUUAGGAAAGUCAUAUGGUGAACAUUUCAGGAAGCUGAAGGAAAUGACCAUAAGAGACGAUGAUGUCAUUAUAUGUGCUUAUCCCAAAGCAGGAACUCAUUGGAUCUGGGAAGUGAGUCAGAUGUUGAAACGCCAAACAACAGAAUACCAUAAACAUAUUAAAGAGCAGCACAUGUUCGAAAGUACGAAUAUUGAUAGUUUUGACGCAGAACCCUCACCACGUGUUCUU